This 75-nucleotide transfer RNA is filed under the name Candidatus Woesebacteria bacterium GWA1_42_12. RNAcentral describes it as "tRNA-Arg". It matches the Rfam family "tRNA". From Rfam's summary of the family: Transfer RNA (tRNA) molecules are approximately 80 nucleotides in length. Lineage: Bacteria; Candidatus Woeseibacteriota. RNAcentral also lists the same sequence under 1 other name. The record is from RNAcentral.
GCCCUUGUAGCUCAACGGAUAGAGCAGACCCGUCCUAAGGGUAAGAUGGCAGUUCAAUUCCGCCCAGGGGCACAA